This 395-nucleotide ribosomal RNA is filed under the name uncultured bacterium. RNAcentral describes it as "partial 16S ribosomal RNA". It matches the Rfam family "Bacterial small subunit ribosomal RNA", at positions 523 to 918 of the family's 1533-position model. The record is from RNAcentral.
AUACGUAGGGGGCAAGCGUUAUCCGGAUUCAUUGGGCGUAAAGCGCGCGCAGGCGGCCGCUCAAGCGGGACCUCUAAUCCCGGGGCUCAACCCCGGGCCGGGUCCCGAACUGGGCGGCUCGUGUCCGGUAGGGGAGGUCGGAAUUCCCGGUGUAGCGGUGGAAUGCGCAGAUAUCGGGAAGAACACCGAUGGCGAAGGCAGACCUCUGGGCCGCGACAGACGCUGAGGCGCGAAAGCUAGGGGAGCGAACAGGAUUAGAUACCCUGGUAGUCCUAGCCGUAAACGAUGACAGCUAGGUGUGGGGGCAGGCCUUGCCCCCGUGCCGCAGCCAACGCAUUAAGCUGUCCGCCUGGGGAGUACGGCCGCAAGGCUAAAACUCAAAUGAAUUGGCGGGG